GCCCUGUUGGUCCCUAGAACAUAUCAGCCCUGUUGGACAUAUCAGCCCUGUUGGUCCCUAGAACAUAUCAGCCCUGUUGGACAUAUCAGCCCUGUUGGACAUAUCAGCCCUGUUGGUCCCUAGAACAUAUCAGCCCUGUUGAACAUAUCAGCCCUGUUGGUCCCAAGAACAUAUCAGCCCUGUUGGUCCCUAGAACAUAUCAGCCCUGUUGGACAUAUCAGCCCUGUUGGUCCCUAGAACAUAUCAGCCCUGUUGGACAUAUCAGCCCUGUUGAACAUAUCAGCCCUGUUGGUCCCUAGAACAUAUCAGCCCUGUUGGACAUAUCAGCCCUGUUGGUCCCAAGAACAUAUCAGCCCUGUUGGUCCCUAGAACAUAUCAGCCCUGUUGGUCCCUAGAACAUAUCAGCCCUGUUGGUCCCUAGAACAUAUCAGCCCUGUUGGACAUAUCAGCCCUGUUGGACAUAUCAGCCCUGUUGGUCCCUAGAACAUAUCAGCCCUGUUGAACAUAUCAGCCCUGUUGGACAUAUCAGCCCUGUUGGACAUAUCAGCCCUGUUGGUCCCUAGAACAUAUCAGCCCUGUUGGACAUAUCAGCCCUGUUGGACAUAUCAGCCCUGUUGGACAUAUCAGCCCUGUUGAACAUAUCAGCCCUGUUGGUCCCUAGAACAUAUCAGCCCUGUUGGUCCCUAGAACAUAUCAGCCCUGUUGGACAUAUCAGCCCUGUUGGUCCCUAGAACAUAUCAGCCCUGUUGGACAUAUCAGCCCUGUUGGUCCCUAGAACAUAUCAGCCCUGUUGGUCCCUAGAACAUAUCAGCCCUGUUGGUCCCUAGAACAUAUCAGCCCUGUUGAACAUAUCAGCCCUGUUGGUCCCUAGAACACAUCAGCCCUGUUGGACAUAUCAGCCCUG
Oncorhynchus keta (chum salmon) is the source of this 904-nucleotide long non-coding RNA. RefSeq lists it as uncharacterized. NCBI's taxonomy places the organism in Eukaryota, Metazoa, Chordata, Actinopteri, Salmoniformes, Salmonidae. The transcript has 6 exons. The record is from RefSeq and is a predicted model, not a curated record.